Molecule: ribosomal RNA, 423 nt
Filed under: uncultured bacterium
Lineage: Bacteria
Description: bacterial SSU rRNA
Rfam family: Bacterial small subunit ribosomal RNA
Source: RNAcentral
AGAGUUUGAUCCUGGCUCAGGAUGAACGCUGGCGGUAUGCUUAACACAUGCAAGUCGAACGAAGUCUUCGGACUUAGUGGCGGACGGGUGAGUAACGCGUAAGAAUCUAUCUACAGACUCGGGACAACAGUUGGAAACGACUGCUAGUACCGGAUAUGCCUUCGGGUGAAAGAUUUAUCAUCUGUAGAUGAGCUUGCGUCCGAUUAGUUAGAUGGAGUGGUAAUGGCACACCAUGGCGACGAUCGGUAACUGGUCUGAAAGGAUGACCAGUCACACUGGGACUGAGACACGGCCCAGACUCCUACGGGAGGCAGCAGUGGGGAAUUUUCCGCAAUGGGCGAAAGCCUGACGGAGCAAUACCGCGUGACUUUUGAAGGUCUGUGGAUUGUAAACCUCUUUUGUUAGGGAAGAUAAUGACGUACC